CAUGGUGUAGCUAAUGCUGCUACACAUGGAGGAGGACAUGGUUAUCCACCUGGGGCAUACCCUCCACAACAUGGGUAUCCUCCACAACAAGGAUACCCUCCACAACAAGGUUAUCCACCAUCUGGGUAUCCUCCACAACAAGGAUACCCUCCACAAGGCUACCCACCUGCUGGUUAUCCUGCUUCAUCUGGUCAUAAUGCUCAAGGUGUGUAUCCUUUCAAAUUGUUAUGUUAUGCCUUGGUUACUGAUUGUUACAAUUAUCUGAUAAAUUGAAUUCUUAAUUAUGUUGUAGUUUUAAAAUUUGUGAAGAUGCAUACUCGGAAGCAUAUAAAUUAACUAUAGUGGAAUAGCAGUGUCUUUUAAAAGUUACAUAAUCCACCCACCAAACUGAAAUAGCUGUGAAAUCACACACAAUCAUACUGAGAUAUAAAUGCUGGGAAUUCAGGUGUAAGUGGUAGAAAUUCUCCUGUUUGUUAAAUAGGAAUGGACUAAAUGAAGAUUAUACA
Molecule: long non-coding RNA, 506 nt
Filed under: Cicer arietinum (chickpea)
Lineage: Eukaryota; Viridiplantae; Streptophyta; Magnoliopsida; Fabales; Fabaceae
Description: long non-coding RNA (CARI_LNC002276)
Source: RNAcentral